UAGGGAAUCUUCGGCAAUGGGGGCAACCCUGACCGAGCAACGCCGCAUGAGUGAAGAAGGUUUUCGGAUCGUAAAGCUCUGUUGUAAGAGAAGAACGUGUGUGAGAGUGGAAAGUUCACACAGUGACGGUAACUUACCAGAAAGGGACGGCUAACUACGUGCCAGCAGCCGAGGUAAUACGUAGGUCCCGAGCGUUGUCCGGAUUUAUUGGGCGUAAAGCGAGCGCAGGCGGUUUAAUAAGUCUGAAGUUAAAGGCAGUGGCUUAACCAUUGUUCGCUUUGGAAACUGUUAAACUUGAGUGCAGUAGGGGAGAGUGGAAUUCCAUGUGUAGCGGUGAAAUGCGUAGAUAUAUGGAGGAACACCGGUGGCGAAAGCGGCUCUCUGGUCUGUAACUGACGCUGAGGCUCGAAAGCGUGGGGAGCAAACAGG
This 429-nucleotide ribosomal RNA is filed under the name bacterium. RNAcentral describes it as "partial 16S ribosomal RNA". It matches the Rfam family "Bacterial small subunit ribosomal RNA", at positions 355 to 776 of the family's 1533-position model. The record is from RNAcentral.